UGUUCAAAGCUGCCCAGC
Molecule: unclassified non-coding RNA, 18 nt
Filed under: Chlamydomonas reinhardtii
Lineage: Eukaryota; Viridiplantae; Chlorophyta; Chlorophyceae; Chlamydomonadales; Chlamydomonadaceae
Description: small RNA Cre_3655
Source: RNAcentral